Molecule: long non-coding RNA, 1703 nt
Organism: Anguilla rostrata (American eel)
Lineage: Eukaryota; Metazoa; Chordata; Actinopteri; Anguilliformes; Anguillidae
Exons: 4
Source: RefSeq, a predicted model, not a curated record
UGGGCCAGCGUCCCCCCUGCAAGCACACCUGCGAUUCUCCCCAGGCGCUUGCAGACCCUUACACACUACCACAGGAUGUCCAUAUUGAAUUUUAGUGUUAUGUGUCAAUCAAUUAAUCAAAAUUUUAAUUUUCACAGUCUUGACCCAGGGGGCUAGUAGGAUGGGGGUAUGGGUGGGGUGGUGGCUCUACAGUGCAAUUAUAUUUUUAUUGGCCUAAAAGAGAGAACAAGCUCAGUGAAUUAAAAGAGGGUGGUAUCCAUCUGUGGUUGAAGAUGCUGCCUUUUUAUUUUGAUAUGUAGAAAGGAACCACAGAAAUUAUUACUAAAAAUCAAGAUUAGAUGUGCAGGCAUGGCAGUGCUCGCUCUUUCCCGGAGGUGUAUGUGGACCUGUGCCAAUUGGAGAUAUUUGAAGGGCAUACUGGUGAUAUUCGGUAUGCAGAUGGAGCCCUAUACUUGUGUGAUGUGUUUUUGAGAAGAGCUUGGUGAGGUUGGCUGGCAAUUUGAUGAUCUUUAGGGAGAGCAUCUCAAGGAAUCCUUGUCUGUCUGACACUUAACCUCACCAAUAGCCUAAGGCCAGUAAGGCUGAGACUCAGUGUGGCCCUGUGCCACACCACAUCAACUCUGUACAGCAAGAGAAAACUACAAAUACAAAAUAGUUCCAUAUCUUUCAAGGUGAGUCCUAUGCUACUUGCAGUAGCCUGGAGUGGUGAUGUCACAACAGAGUGUUUAUUCCAGUGACACUGGCCUCCCUGUACUCCAUGAAUCCCUGGUCAGCAGCUGGACAGGAGCUGCUUGGGUACAGCAUGCAAAGAGGCUGAUGGCAUGAGAGAUGACUCUCAAGCUCGCUCUUACAGAGCGAGGUGCUGCUUGGAGUGAAUCCAGCCUGACCACACCGCCCCUCCCAUCACCCAGCCACCACCCCCACCCACUACUAGCCUCCUGGGUCAAGGCUGGCUCAGCGUUUUCCUGCCUACCACUACUUAUUCACGUUGCUUCCUAUAUUGCAAGCCCAACAUCCGAGGCUUAAACAGAACUGACAGGCUUCUAUCCACAGGAGGGCUACAGAAACUGCUGCUAUUUAAAGAUGGCCACCGACCUCAGCCUGUCGUUGUCGCACCUGUUAGGCGGAACGCCCGACGAUGAGACGCGGCGCCGACCCCGCGUGACCUCACGAUGAGCGUCAGGGGGCAAAAUGGCAACCUUCUGCCACCUCUGCACAAAACAGUGCGGAGGUCAGGACAAGCGUCGUUUGCGACACGCCCAGAGCGGAAUGGUUCUCUCCACUAGGGGGAGACAAAGAGUAAGUCUCGGCAGACUGGAGCAGGAGAAGGGAAUUGGAAACAUAUGCUCAGCACUUUCUAACCCAAACCUGAAUCACAUCAAUCAGUCUCUCGCAGUUUGUAGGGGGGAGCCUUUGGGCAGUGAAAAUAGUGCAGGAAAUCACAAAGCUCAAAGACGAGCCCUUAAAUUAGAUACUAUGACCGGUUUGGCUAAAUUACAGGCUGUAUAUUUAGCAGAGGCCGUCCCAUAUUCUGAGCCAACCAACAGAUGAGCACAGCGGUCUAACCCGUUGUCUUGCUCAAAAUUUCCUUUUCAAAUGUUUCUGUUUAAGAUGUUCAAGAUGAGAUGUGGAAGUGUUUGACCCUCACGAGUAACUUGGUGAUAUUGCCAAGAGUGCUUUGAGAAUGCUGUACACUCUCUAAA